This 132-nucleotide small RNA is filed under the name Escherichia coli. Its description in RNAcentral is "RtT sRNA". It matches the Rfam family "RtT RNA". Rfam says of the family: This family represents a bacterial cis-regulatory element known as RtT RNA. The exact function of RtT is unknown although it is thought that it may be involved in changing the cellular response in relation to amino acid starvation. The record is from RNAcentral. RNAcentral also lists the same sequence under 4 other names. Lineage: Bacteria; Pseudomonadati; Pseudomonadota; Gammaproteobacteria; Enterobacterales; Enterobacteriaceae.
AUUCUGCCCAUGCGGGGAAGGAUGAGAAGCUUCAACCAAGGUUCGACUUGAGCGCCAGCGAGAGAGCGUUGCCGCAGGCAACGACCCGAAGGGCGAAGCGCGCAGCGCUGAGUAAUCCUUCCCCCACCACCA